AUGUACUCGUCGCAGUCAUUGAGCCACGUCAAUAAAAUCCGAACCUCCCUCAUCAACGCGCAGAAAGGUACCCAAUCCGCCACCACCUACUUCUCCCACAUGUGUGGCCUCGCCGACGAGCUGGCCGCGGCUGGCAAGCCGAUCCAGGAUGACGAGCUGAUCUCCUAUAUCCUCCAUGGGCUGGAUCUGGAGUACCAGCCCCUGGUCUCGGCCCUCGACGCCCGCGUCUCACCCGCCUCCCUCGAUGAGAUCUUCGCCAUGCUCAGCAACUUAGAUCAACGCAUGGCGCAGUUCCACGGUGUGGGCGGC
Molecule: ribosomal RNA, 309 nt
Filed under: Triticum aestivum (bread wheat)
Lineage: Eukaryota; Viridiplantae; Streptophyta; Magnoliopsida; Poales; Poaceae
Description: partial small subunit ribosomal RNA
Source: RNAcentral